RNAcentral lists this ribosomal RNA (484 nucleotides) under uncultured bacterium. RNAcentral's name for it is "partial 16S ribosomal RNA". It matches the Rfam family "Bacterial small subunit ribosomal RNA", at positions 30 to 507 of the family's 1533-position model. The record is from RNAcentral.
AUUGAACGCUGGCGGCAGGCCUAACACAUGCAAGUCGAGCGGAUGAAGGGAGCUUGCUCCUGGAUUCAGCGGCGGACGGGUGAGUAAUGCCUAGGAAUCUGCCUGUUAGUGGGGGAUAACGUCCGGAAACGGGCGCUAAUACCGCAUACGUCCUGAGGGAGAAAGUGGGGGAUCUUCGGACCUCACGCUAUUACAUGAGCCUAGGUCGGAUUAGCUAGUUGGUGGGGUAAAGGCCUACCAAGGCGACGAUCCGUAACUGGUCUGAGAGGAUGAUCAGUCACACUGGAACUGAGACACGGUCCAGACUCCUACGGGAGGCAGCAGUGGGGAAUAUUGGACAAUGGGCGCAAGCCUGAUCCAGCCAUGCCGCGUGUGUGAAGAAGGUCUUCGGGUUGUAAAGCACUUUAAGUUGGGAGGAAGGGCAGUAAGUUAAUACCUUGCUGUUUUGACGUUACCCACAGAAUAAGCACCGGCUAACUUCGUG